ACCAUGAAUGCUGUUAGAAGUGCUGUCAUUUAACUAAAAUUCUCUCUAUGGUAGAAAAGCUGUGCUGAAAAGAGAUUUUUACUGUGUUAAGCCCUGAAAUGCAAAAAUCCUUUCUUACAGGUCCUAAAAUAAACUGCAUCGGGAUUUCAUUGAAAUAGCAUAUCAGCCUUCAGCAAGUGAAUGCAUACAGUAUGGAAACUCAUCCCUCCAUUCCUGCUUUGUACUUGGAAAUCCUUCUUUGCCUGAAGUUCCACUGAGGCUUUCAGCUACUCGUGUCUUGUGCUGCCUACAGCUACUGUUACUCCAAAGUGUUGCUGUGGCAUAGGUGUGAGCUCGGAGUUUGUGAUUUGUGUGAAGACUGAAGGCGGUGGUGUAAGCAUGUGACUGGGAGAAAAGGACUUGGUGGUAGCAGCUCCUCACUCUGGCCUUGAGGCAUGACAGUCUCAAGCUUCUGAGCUGGAAUCUGACCUGCUGACAAGCUGAUGUGGAAGUCGUCUGAGUCAGGAAGAGAAGAGAUACUGUCUUGAUGCAUUGUCUCAGUAAGGGGCUGGGGCAGGAACUCAUUGGAACCAUCCAUGCUGCAGGACCUACCUGGGGAUGCUAACCUUUACUACCAACUUAAAUCCCUUCAGUGUCUGUGCCAGGUGCAAUUUACAGGAGGAAAAAGACUUUGUGUAGAGACUUUACAAAAGGCCCUUCAACACGGGACCAGGAAAACUCUUUUAAGAUGAUGGAGCUUAAGGCAAACCGAGAAUGAGGAUGUGCCCUGAAUGAGCAGGAGGUGCUACCCAAGGGAUGGCAGAGGGGGAAGGAAGCCUAGCAGAAAAAAAUCAGUGUAUUUCUUAAUUUCUCUUUCACAAACUGUUUUUAAAAUUGUACAGAAGAAGACUAAAUACUUUGGAGGGAGAGCACUACUCUAUUAAUUUCAAUUUUUUAUACUUUCUCUUGAGUGCUCUCCAUGGGCUGUUUUCUUCAGUUGUGUUUUUGUAACCUUUUCUCUUUGAAAUCUUAAAGAUAAUUUCUUCGCAUGAAGAAAGUAAUGAAUUCAAAUUGUGUGAUUAUUUUUAGCUACGUUUGAUGACAUAGCCAGACAUGCCUGCAGCAAAAUAACAUUGGUGCUGGCAGAAAACAGGUAGUUAAGCAGGUAGGCUGUAAAUAUCUACAGUCAUUGCUUUAAAGCUAUCAAUUAUUUGUGUUCCCAAGUUUAACUGUUGCACUGAAUAUUUACCUUGCAAACUGAGAAAUAGCAGCCAAUCUAAGCAAGUCAUUUGCUUUUCAGUAUUAAUUUCACUUCUUGUGCCAGGCUCUGUAAAUGUUUCCUCAUAUAUCAUUGUCACGGUGCCAUACAUUUUAAAUGUCAAAUUAUGCUGUGUCUGGUGUCAUAAGACUACUGUUAGCAGCAGGGAGGGACAAAAAAUACCACACAGAGAAUAAACACUUGUUUUCAGUAGCUUCCAUACCUGGUAUGCAGUUCUAUGGACAGAAUUAUCUAAGGGUUGUUUGGAUGUGUAGAAGAUCCUUUGAGUAUUUUAGCCACCCCUUGAGGAACCUUUUUCCUGUAUUGAAAACAAAUGAUUUGUGCAUUUCAGCUGCAGUAUUUCUUCUUUCCCUAGGCUCUUGCAUCUAAAGAGAACAUGCCAGAAAGGGCAGAUAAAUGCCAUUCUUUUUAGUAGUUAUUUUCCAAUUAUUGUUAGUUCACAAGCCUUUUAUGAGAAAUUACAGUGCUAAAGCAAAGUAAGAGGCAAACUUCAGAUGACUAUGUAUUGUAUGUAGGAGACAAGGGCUCUAUUCUGCUCUCCUGCCCCCCAUUUACCGUCAGAUUUAUACCACACUAGCACAGCAACUGAAGAUUAAACAGGGAUUAACCUUUCUGGUUAUCCACAAUUUCUCACACUAUUUGUAGAAAUAAUAUAAUUCACCACUGAGUUAUUAUUUUCCUUGUGGAGUAAUACUGCUAUAGAGGUUAAAGAAGUCAGGGCUGUGUAAUAACCUAUUUAUAAUAAUAAGAGAAGGGUGAUCACAUUAUUAUCCUCAAGAGGCUUCACAGAAGGAGGUCCACGAUAUGUUGUGUUUUGUCAUUCAGAUCAUGUAUCUCUACCCAAAGAAACAGAUUCUGUGCUGCCUGUCCAUGGAGUCAAGCAAUGCUGACGUGCCUCCACCAUCCCUGACCCCUUUUCAGGUCUCAUCCUUCUCCGCCAGAGGAUUUAAUAAGUAGGUACAGAGCUAUUUAUGUCAGCAUCUCCUCUUAUGGUUUGAACAUUUCAGACUGGUGGAUUAGUCGAGAGGGCUGAAGUCCAAAUUUAGUGCCCUUGGGCUCGAUUCAUUUACUCAUGCAUGAACACCUAGUGCCAUCUGAGCUAUCCAGGGGGAUCUCUCCAGCAGCCUCUAGAAGGGAAUGGGUCUCACAGAGGUCUUGCGAAAUACAUACCAGCUCUGCAGGAAUUUGUCAGAUACUCUAGUGUGUCUCAAGUGGCACUAAGUUAUUUAAAUAUGCAUCAACACAACAGGCCCUAAAUAAUCAGUUUGCAAAUCGGAAAUGGAUCUUCCAUUUGUCCCACACUAUUGCUCAGGUCCAGAAAACAAACACUGAAAAUUUUUGUCAUUUCAACUAGCUGCCUGUGUAGGAGCAGAGAUAAGCUAGAACUGGAACCUCCAUCAUGUGUUGCUUCUAUAACCUAGGCAGCCCCGUAAGCCUUUCCAGGACAUGGAUCAUCUUGGUAUAAUAUUAAAAAUAACCAUAAUGUAAUAAUUUAAGGUAAGAUGAACUGGUGCCUGCAAAUGCCUAUCUGUUUUCAUUGUCUCUACAGUCAGCUUAAGUGACUUGGUUAAACUAUACAUCUGACUUGCAGAUCACUUGAAUCAGUAAAAAUUAAUUCCUACUUUCAGAGAAAAAAGGGCUAGUUUGAGUCAGAGCCUUGACCUAGGAAGAGGUAUCAGAACCCAAACUUACAUGGAAGGAAAACAUCCAAAGUACACGUGAUAAUCUUUUGCUGGAGUUACCUGUUCACCACCUUUAGUGUUCCUUCCUCAUUUCUGGACAAUAAUUGUGACUCACAACUCUUAUAAAAUAUAGUAGUUCAUAUUCAUACAAUUCUUAGUACCUUUCCAAUAGCCUGAAGCCCACCAUCUGAGCUUACAAAUAGCACAAAAUGCUGGAUUUCAUGAUUUAAACAUAUGGCACAUCUGUUUUUUACAGUUACAUGAAAUUUAAGGCUUCCAAUACAGAAGACAUCUGUGGGCUGCUGUACACAAUUCAGAAUGAAUCGUGAUGCGUUGUGGUUCCUAUUUUUGGUGCCUUCACUGGCCCCUAGUGUUUCAUCUUGUGAGUAAAUCAAGUAUUUUCUAUGAAAUUGUAUAUUUCAAGAUAUAUGACAGUAUUAAAUGGUAUUUAGUUCUCUGACUGUCUUUGAGAAUUUAUAAAAGUACAUUACUGCAUUACUCUGAUUUGAAAUAUACAGAUGUAAGAAUACUACACAUAUUUAACAGUACAUAUGUCUUGGUUUCA
This is a long non-coding RNA of Tyto alba (common barn owl), 3505 nucleotides long. RefSeq lists it as uncharacterized. The record is from RefSeq and is a predicted model, not a curated record. The transcript has 6 exons. Lineage: Eukaryota; Metazoa; Chordata; Aves; Strigiformes; Tytonidae.